CCCGCAGCCAAGUUGGCUGUCACAGUUACCGUUACCGACAGCCGGUGUCGACGAAGAGCCCACAUCGUGUUCUUCACAUUUACACCACUCAUAGAAAUGAUUCGCCGUCAAUUUGCCCAAAGCUCGUACCCCAAGAUGGAAUUGGCUGUCGCACUCACAUCCAUCCCCUGACAUCAAUCUAAGUAUUUGUUAAGUUGUUGUUUGACAUAGUUUCUGAGAUUGGAUAAUGGAUUUUUAUAGCUACCACGAUUGAAUUUCCAAAGUUUUCCCUUUACGAAAGUUUGGAUUUUGGAUGUUGAUUAAUCUUUGUUUGAAUAAGUUACAUUUAUUAUGAGACUUCUUGUUGGUUUAUCAAGAUGAAUGCUACCAUCUUAGCUUUGUUGGUAACUCGGUUUUGCAUAAGUUUCUUUACUGAGAUUGAAUACAAGGGUGUAUGGUGGGAAAAUCAAGAUGGAAUCUCCUGCACCGAUUAUUUUGAAUACAUUUAUUAUGAGAAUUUUCUUGUUGUUUUAUGAAGAUAGAAUGUCCUGCACCAGUUUUGAGAUUGAAUACAAGGUUGUAUAGUAGGAAAAAAAAAAAGUAAAAUAGUUACUUUUGCACACAUAGUAAGCUAGUAAAUUCAUGUAUGCUAUGUUUAUAAACAUGUUCUCACUUGGCAAAGGAAAUGAAGCCUUGAGUUUGUGGGUAAAAAAAAAAAAAAAAAAAAAAGCCUCCUAGCAUUUGCAAGGGAAUUUCACGCAUGUACGAUGGAAGAUGAACUUUUAUUUUAUCAUAUUUUCAAUCUUAUGUAUGUAUAAUCAAUCAUUUAACUACAUCUUUAAGUCUAUCUUUUUAAUGAGUUUGUUUCAUUUACAGCAAUCGGCUAGAUUGAGAGGAAUAAAUUUUGGAGUCAAUUAUGGUUGCAAAAGUAACAUGCACUACUUCGGACAAUGCCAAUUAAAACGUCGAUUCCCUAGUUGUGACCACGGAUAUCGAAAACGUUUUGAGGUCGAACGGGAUACCGGUAACAAAGGGCGAUUGUCCUUUACCUGUAGUAAUGACUGUGGGUACUUUGAUUAGGUGAACGAUGAAGCUUUAGGCAGGAAACCGAGUUUCAUUAAUCAUGCGGUCAAUUAGGAGCGACAAGGAAGAUGAAGAAUUGCCAAGACUCUUUGAUGGCUAGCUAGAAUUAGCGAGAAAUGAGGCACCGACAUAUCAUUGCACAUGACUUUUAGCAAGGGAAAAGGAAUUGUCAACUGUGAUGAGAAAGGAAAGAGGUCAGAUUGAGGAGGUGAUUGGAGUCGUGUCUUUCGUUGAAACACUAGUACGAUGUGAAUUUCAAUUAGUAUAACAAUAUAUUGGUUUUAUGUAUGUCUAAUCUGUAUUUCACUGUGGUUUGUAAGACAAAAAUAGAUGACUAAUAUUGCCUAAUUGACCUG
RNAcentral lists this long non-coding RNA (1418 nucleotides) under Olea europaea subsp. europaea. Lineage: Eukaryota; Viridiplantae; Streptophyta; Magnoliopsida; Lamiales; Oleaceae. The record is from RNAcentral.